RNAcentral lists this long non-coding RNA (1382 nucleotides) under Monodelphis domestica (gray short-tailed opossum). RNAcentral's name for it is "lncRNA (ENSMODG00000045711.1)". Lineage: Eukaryota; Metazoa; Chordata; Mammalia; Didelphimorphia; Didelphidae. The record is from RNAcentral.
GUUCAUUCUAGUUGUUUGAAAACUCUAAAUUAUAUGUGAUAUCUAUAGUAACUACUGGCUAGCCAGAAUUUUUCAUUUAAGAGAACAAUCCAUUUCCUGGCUAAAGCGAGUUAUCUACAUUUUAUUUAUCAGGGUGCAGUAGGAGAGACUAGCUUCAGAGAAUGUCACAGGGGUGUUCUCAGGAGCACUAGAAGUACUAGCAAAUGGAAGAGGGAUAAGAACUUUUCUGUUUGGCUAAUAGGGAAAUACUGAGAGUAAUGGAGAAAAGUUGCAAAGUAAAAUUGGGUGUUAUAUAAGGAGAAACUGAACAGUGCAAAAGGGAAAUGGUCAGUCUCAGGAAGAUGCCCCUGAGCCCUUACUAAGGUCUUUGCAGAAAAAUUGGAUGGUUGCUUCCUAGGAAUUUCGAGGGAGAAGGGACAGUUCUUUGGGAGGUACAUAUUGGACAAGAGUAUUUCUGAGAGCUCUUUUAACUCUGAAAUCUUCAUAUUCUAGGCUCCAUCAACUGGAAGUUUUUAUUCUAUCUGGCCUGAAGAUUUACUUGGCCUGCUCAAAGUCUCAAAAAAUGUCACUUGAGGUGAGCUUUCCAAUUGGCAGGCUAGCUGAUGAAGAUUCAACCAACAUUCCCAGUUCUUUUUGGCAUUCUUACAGAUUGUUCAAUGUUGUAACAAGCAAGAAAGUAUAAAAAAAAGCCCAAGUGAUGAUUAAAUUCUUAUUAAGAGAUGUGCAGCCUCCUGAGCCCUCCAUUGAAAUACAUAGUUUAUUUCAAAUGCUUUUAUUUCUGUGUUCAAGUUUCUGAAUAAUAUAUAUUGAUGUGCUGUGACUAUAAAUGGAAUCUGAUGUGAUGUCAUGGAUAAGGACCAUUUUUGAGAAAUCUAAUGUUUGUCAUUUAUUAAUUACUUUAAGAAGCACAUAGUAAAUGAAAAAUGAGUUAUCUCUGGCCUAAUGAGUGUGAUCUUACUUUCCUUGCAUAUUCACAAAAACCUUCAACUGGAUUCAACAGGUGUCUGUAAAUGUGCCAGAGUAUAGAACAUACUGCACUCACCAACAGCCUUGGAUAUCUUUCACAACCUGUAAGUGACUCUUCAAAUUUUCCUCAGGAGUAGCUAUUUCUUUAUACACACAUGCGCGCAUACGCGCACCCAAAUUUCCACAUAAGUUUUCCUAAGUUAUAUGUAAGUAUAUAUAAUGUAUAUAUAUAAGUUCUCUCUCUCCCACCCUUCGUUUCCCCCUUGUAGUGCGGGCAGGAGAUAUGAUCUGGGUUAUAUCUGAUUAGCACACAAAACACAUUUCCAUAUUGUUCAUUUUUGUAAGUGAAUAAUGUUAUAAAACCAAAGCCCUAAAACACACACCCAAAUAAACAAGUGACAAAUCAUCUGCUUCCA